This 253-nucleotide ribosomal RNA is filed under the name uncultured bacterium. RNAcentral's name for it is "partial 16S ribosomal RNA". It matches the Rfam family "Bacterial small subunit ribosomal RNA", at positions 524 to 776 of the family's 1533-position model. The record is from RNAcentral.
UACGGAGGGUGCAAGCGUUAUCCGGAUUCACUGGGUUUAAAGGGUGCGUAGGUGGGUCUGUAAGUCAGUGGUGAAAUCUCCGAGCUUAACUUGGAAACUGCCAUGGAUACUAUAGGUCUUGAAUACUGUGGAGGUUAGCGGAAUAUGUCAUGUAGCGGUGAAAUGCUUAGAUAUGACAUAGAACACCAAUUGCGAAGGCAGCUGGCUACACAAAUAUUGACACUGAUGCACGAAAGCGUGGGGAUCAAACAGG